GACAGAGGUGCCGAGCGUUAGGCGGAAUCACUGGGCUUAAAGCGUGUGUAGGUGGAUCGUUAAGUACCUUGUGAAAUCCCACGGCUUAACCGUGGAACUGCUUGGUAUACUGGCGGUCUUGAGCCAGCUAGGGGCUACCGGAACAAAUGGUGGAGCGGUGAAAUGCGUAGAUAUCAUUUGGAACGCCAAUGGUGAAAACAGGUAGCUGGGGCUGUGCUGACGCUGAGACACGAAAGCCAGGGGAGCAAACGGG
This 253-nucleotide ribosomal RNA is filed under the name uncultured bacterium. RNAcentral's name for it is "partial 16S ribosomal RNA". It matches the Rfam family "Bacterial small subunit ribosomal RNA", at positions 524 to 776 of the family's 1533-position model. The record is from RNAcentral.